RNAcentral lists this ribosomal RNA (120 nucleotides) under Petromyzon marinus (sea lamprey). The record is from RNAcentral. Lineage: Eukaryota; Metazoa; Chordata; Hyperoartia; Petromyzontiformes; Petromyzontidae.
GACUCCACCCAAAUUGCCUGGAAUGCGCUCGAUCUUGUCAAGUCUUGUAAGCUAAGCAGGUUUGAGCCUGGAUAGUGCUUGGAUGGGCGACCACCAUGUAUAAAACAGGUACUGUAGGCU